RNAcentral lists this ribosomal RNA (357 nucleotides) under Triticum aestivum (bread wheat). Its description in RNAcentral is "partial small subunit ribosomal RNA". Lineage: Eukaryota; Viridiplantae; Streptophyta; Magnoliopsida; Poales; Poaceae. The record is from RNAcentral.
AUGGUCCUGGAAGUUGGUGGCAAUGUCCACAACCAUCCUAGAAAUCGCGAAUGGCGUCAAUACAGUCCUGACAAUAAGUUGGAAAUAGAACGGCAAUACGAUCCUCAAACUUGGGCAAUAGGUCCUGGGAUACGUCUCCGUGUACAAAUUGCAUACACCAGGACCACCACGCCAGCAGAGGAAAAAACAAAAGAUUCGAGGGCAACUGGUGUGGAUCGUGCGACUGGAUUGUCUUUUUUCGUUCGCCUCCCUGCCGUUUCUAAAGAGCUGUCUCAUGCGCCCUCCGCCCCACUGUUCGUGGAGUUUUUGUGUGCAUUCUUGGAGCAGAGCCGCUACACUAUGGAGGCGGUGGUGUGA